CAUAAGAACAGGAACGGAUAUGCGAGGUGAAAUGCAUUGAACGGGCAACGAAACCAUGGAGUGAAUUCAAAAUUUUAGGCAGCCAACAGCCUCAUGAAACGUUUAAGGUGGGACAAGGAAACAAUUGAAAUUUGUCGUUCCAUCUAGUCAUGCAAACAAGUUCAGACAGUGGAACUUGUUGUAAUGUGGCACCCAGCAGACACUGUGUAGACCUUCACGAGCUUAGUUUCAUUGGACAUCGGUCCCCUGGGAUAAACUGUAAGCAAAUGGGCUGGCUUACCCUUUGUACUUCCAGGUUAUGGAGUGGCUUUUCACUUACGGUUGUGCUUAGUAAAAUGGAAAGAGGAUUUUAGGUUUUUCAGCCUUGUAUGAAUCAAACAAAGGCUUAGCAA
Molecule: long non-coding RNA, 392 nt
Filed under: Linum usitatissimum (flax)
Lineage: Eukaryota; Viridiplantae; Streptophyta; Magnoliopsida; Malpighiales; Linaceae
Description: long non-coding RNA (LUSI_LNC002229)
Source: RNAcentral